UUUUUAUCAGAAGGCCGGACAAGAAUCCAUAACAUAUAUGAUUCAAUCCCAAAAUAGCACUAAACAGAAUUUGAGGAAUACAGUGAUGCAAAUUCUUUAAUACAGUUGGAAAAGCAGAACAAGUGAAGAGACAAAGUAAAAAGAAGACGACCUAACUGAGGCAGUAUUAAGCAACAAGAAGCAGAAGAUGAAAGGAGAAUAAAUAAAUAAAAAAUGAAUUGAAAAAAAAGAAGUUAAAGUGAAACGCAGGUUAGUUUGUAGCAUUUUUUGUAUCCUCUGUGACGUUCUCUCUUCACCGAACUCUCCCGCGGAUCCAGCACCGUACGCGGAGGAUACCAUCGCACACCAGAUCUCUCUCUCACUCUCUCUCUCUCUCGAUGAAUGAUUUCGAUGGUCUCUUAACCAGCGAUUUCGGGUUCAAACCCCAAGGAAAAUCGGCGCCAAUGGCAGCACCUAAAGCUUCGUCCAACAAUUCAUCUUCUCUCAACUUCGAUUUAGGUUCGCGGUCCGCUCGAGCUUCCAAUUCCUUGGCCGGUCACGACUCCGUCAACGCCGCUUCCUUUGACGAUCUCUUUAGCGGCGGUGGCAAGUCAGACGCGUCCUAUGACUUCGACUCCGUGUUUCGCCGCUCCGCCGAUUUCCGCUCCAAGUCAGUUAACCUCCCGGCGCAUGACAAACCGGUCUACGACAAACCGAUGCAUGACGACGACGACGACAUUUUUGACGGCGUUCCCGGCCUCAAGAGCUCCUCCAAGUUCUCGUACGGCGACGUUCUCACUCCGGCCGCGUUCGAUGAUCUUCUCGGCGGGUUAGGUAAAUCGAAGCCUUCGGAGAAGGAAGAGCGAGGUGUCGCGGAUUUUGAUGACUUGAUCCCUGGAUUCGGGAGCAGCAAGGUUUCCACUGAUGGGACCGUUCCUAAUAUUGAUUUGUCAUCACAACCUACUAUCAAUUCUUCUAAAAAGGCUUCUGGUGAAACAGAUGACCCUUUCAAAGUGUUUGAACCAACUUCAGCCUCAACGAAUUCAUCCUCAAAAUACUUUACAGACCCAUUGGGAGAAAUUAGUAAAUUUAGCAGUUCUAGAAGCACAAAAAAUGAUAGUUUGUCAAAUUCUAAUGGUGAAGUAUAUGAUGAUAUUAAUCCCUUUGGUGCACUUGGAAAUUCUGUGCCUGCAUUCUCACCAGAGAGAAAUAGCACAAAGGGUAGUAGCUCCCCAAAUACAACCAGUGAUAAAGAAUCAAGUGGUGUAUCAUCUGUGAGGAGUCCUGAGAGACAAACACAAAACGAGAUUCUUGUUGAUAAUGAUCAGGAAUUUCAUCAGGCUGCAUUUGACAUGCCUACAUAUUCCUCCAAUUCUUACAAACCAUUUGGCGAAAGGUCCCCUUCACAUGAUAAUGAUGGUUUUAAACCGUCUAAUGCCCAGGCAGAUAUGACUCCUAAAUAUGAAGAGGACUUUGAAUCAAAUGAUGAUAUAUGGCUGACGGUAUCAGAGGUUCCUCUUUUUACUCAGCCAACUGCUGCUCCACCACCUUCAAGACCUCCUCCUCCCCGACCAGUACAUAACCUCAAGUCGGGAGGAGGUUCAUCUGCUUCUGCCAAUGUCAGAAAGGAUAGUGAAUUUUCUUCUUUUCCAAGUUCCACUCAUUUUUCUCAGGGUCCUAAAUCUACUCCUGCUGCAGCCAAAUUAUCUUUUGCAUUUCAGUUUGAUGAACUUGAAGAUUUUGCCACGGGCAAGAGUCUUGGUAAUGACAAUGAACGUGGAAAUGGUCUUGCUGAUAAAGAAUUAGAGAUGAACUCAGCUGCUGCAGCGAUGAAAGUGGCUAUGGAUAAAGCAGAAGCUAAAUUUAGGCAUGCAAAGGAAGUUCGGGAGAGGGAAAAUACGAAAGCUGUUAAAAGCAAGGAACCUGUGCAAUUGGAAAAGGAUGGCAGAGCUGUGACAGAGGAUGGAGGAAAACAGGAAAGGCUAGAUCAUGAACGGGAGCAAAAGGAGAGAGAGCAAAGAAGACGUGAGAAGGAAAUGGAAGAGAAAGAAAGAGAGCAACAGAGACUUGAGAGAGAAAGAGAAAUGGCUAGACAGGCUGUAGAAAGAGCUACUAGAGAAGCGCGUGAGAGAGCAGCUGUUGAAGCUCUCCAAAGAGCUGAGAGGGCUGCUGUUGAGAAAGCUAAUGCAGAAGCUAGGAAGCGUGCUGAAAGGGCUGCAGUUCAGAGGGUACAAGCUGAAGCCCGUGAAAGGGCUGCUGCUGAGGCAAAGGAAAGGGCUGAGAAGGCUGCAGCAGAGGCAAAAGAGAGGGAAGUGCGGGAACGAGCUGCUGCUGCGAGAGCUGAAUCUGAGGCAAGAGGUAAACAAGAACGUGCUGCGGUCGAAAGGGCUGCUGCAGAGGCUCGAGAAAGAGCUGCUGUACAGGCUCGAGAAAGAGCUGCUGCUGCAAGGAUGAACCAACAACAAAAUGACAAUGAUCUUGAAUCAUUCUUCAGCAAAGGUGCACGAGCUAACAGUGUUCCCAGGCCUCCUAGGUCCAGCACUUCAGACCCUGUAUUUGAUGCCCAAUUUCAGUCAAAAACUUCAGGUGUGUCUUCAAGCAUGAAGAAAGCAUCGUCAUCCACUAAUAUUGUUGAUGAUCUCUCCUCAAUUUUUGGAGCUGCUCCAUCAUCAUCUGGAGCGUUUCAGGAAGUUGAAGGGGAAAGUGAAGAAAGACGAAAAUCCAGGUUGGAACGCCAGCAGAGGGCUCAGGAUCGUGCGGCUAAAGCAUUGGCUGAGAAGAAUCAACGGGACCUACAAACUCAAAGAGAGCAAGCUGAGAAACAUAGGCUCGGUGAAACAUUGGAUUUCGAAAUUAAGCGCUGGGCUGCAGGAAAAGAGGGGAACUUGCGUGCUUUGCUUUCCACCUUACAAUAUGUUCUGUGGCCUGAAUGUGGUUGGCAGCCAGUUUCUUUGACUGAUUUGAUUACAGCAGCAGCGGUCAGAAAGGUUUACAGGAAAGCUACAUUGUGCAUUCAUCCUGAUAAAGUGCAACAGAAGGGUGCCACUAUACAACAAAAAUGUAUUGCUGAGAAGGUUUUUGAUCUACUGAAGGAAGCAUGGAAUAAGUUCAAUUCAGAAGAGCUUUUCUAAUCUUAGACGAACUGAACAACGUCAAGGCAGUUUUGUUCUGGCCACUCUGAUGAAAGGUGAAAGGAAGAGGGGAUUUGAAAAUGUGUGGAACUUUUGCUUAGACGUGUAGCAAGGAUGACAUUGAAAUAGCAUUACUAAGAUAAAAGAUAUUCAAACAACUACCAUUGCCUUCAACAGUUUCUAGCAUUGGCAAGGAGGGAGUGGAUGGGAUUUAUUUAAUUAAUAAUCUACAUGGAAAGGUUUGUAUUUCCGUAGAUCAACCACGAUGCUGGCAAUUGAGCCAACAGCAGCUGCAACUGACACUACGAGGCAGACAAAGCUUAAUAAUUGCAUACCUAUCCAUCUCUGACUCCAUUUUGGGAUCUUCUUUUGUUUGAUACUCAUCUCUACUGGGAAGAAAACACUUAAAGGCCAAAACCCCAGUGCUCCAAGAAGUCCCAAGAUGUCAUUGAAGAAUGGAAGCAACAUUGCCACAAUAGUGGUUAUGAUAACAAAUCCUGUUCUCCAAACUAAUCUAAAUGGGCUUAAAUUGUAAGAUGCAAAGCCAGGAAUGGGAACUUUGUAUUCUCUAUCAACUUUGGGCCAUCUUUUUGAAGCCCAUUUCUCGACAAAGGCAAAUAGUGGCUGAGCAUAGACUUGGUAUGCUCCAACAAGGUGAAUUACGAUAGCAGCAUUAGCAAUAUCUACAAGCCAAUAUGGGUUGUAGAAACCAAAUCCAGUUAGCAGGUUCCCAGGUGCGUCGUCCCCAAAAGCAGCGUAACCCAUGAAGCCACAAAGCAUAUAAAAUGUUGUUGUUACACCAAUACUUAUCUUAGCGGCUUUUUUCAUUGUCUUUGCCUCCGAUGGUGGAGAUUUUAUAGUGUCCUGUGUAAUCAAGAAUAACAUUGCAUUUAAUUA
Vigna angularis (adzuki bean) is the source of this 4007-nucleotide RNA transcript. It is a transcript of the gene named auxilin-related protein 2, with no coding region annotated. Lineage: Eukaryota; Viridiplantae; Streptophyta; Magnoliopsida; Fabales; Fabaceae. The record is from RefSeq and is a predicted model, not a curated record. The transcript is spliced from 9 exons.